GCCCUUAACAGGAUUAGAUACCCUGGUAGUCCACGCUGUAAACGAUGAAUACUAGGUGUUGGAUACAUUAGUUUCCAGUGCCGCAGUUAACGCAUUAAGUAUUCCACCUGGGGAGUACGAUCGCAAGGUUGAAACUCAAAGGAAUUGACGGGGGCCCGCACAAGCAGUGGAGCAUGUGGUUUAAUUCGAUGCAACGCGAAGAACCUUACCUAGGCUUGAAAGGCAAGUGACCGAGUGUGAAAGCACUCUUCCCGCAAGGGCACUUGUACAGGUGCUGCAUGGCUGUCGUCAGCUCGUGCCGUGAGGUGUUGGGUUAAGUCUCGCAACGAGCGCAACCCCUACCAUUAGUUGCCAUCAGGUUAUGCUGGGCACUCUAAUGGGACUGCCUACGCAAGUAGUGAGGAAGGUGGGGAUGACGUCAAGUCAGCAUGGCCCUUACGUCUAGGGCUACACACGUGCUACAAUGGAUGUUACAACGGGUAGCGAAGCCGCGAGGUGGAGCCAAUCCCUAAAAGGCAUCCUCAGUUCGGAUUGCAGUCUGAAACUCGACUGCAUGAAGCUGGAAUUGCUAGUAAUCGCGCAUCAGCAUGGCGCGGUGAAUACGUUCCCGGGCCUUGUACACACCGCCCGUCAAGCCAUGGGAGCUGGGGGGACCUGAAGUCCGUAACCGCGAGGAGCGGCCUAGGGUAAAAUCAGUGACUGGGGCUAAGUCGUAACAAGGUAACCAAGGGC
RNAcentral lists this ribosomal RNA (732 nucleotides) under uncultured bacterium. Its description in RNAcentral is "bacterial SSU rRNA". It matches the Rfam family "Bacterial small subunit ribosomal RNA", at positions 765 to 1507 of the family's 1533-position model. The record is from RNAcentral.